Molecule: long non-coding RNA, 250 nt
Organism: Sebastes umbrosus (honeycomb rockfish)
Lineage: Eukaryota; Metazoa; Chordata; Actinopteri; Perciformes; Sebastidae
Exons: 3
Source: RefSeq, a predicted model, not a curated record
UAUUCUCUGUGUCCAGCUUCUGCUGUUCUCUCCUCUCUCCUCUCCUCUCUUCUGGUUUAUCACCUCUGUCAGAAAAAAGCUAAAGAACCUCCAGCUGAUCAGCAAAGACCUCACACAAGACUGAAUCAGGAUGAAGAUGUGUGUUAUGCUGCUCUGGAAAUCCGUCCGGCAUCACAAAGACCAAAGAAGAAGAAAACCCAGAGUUCUGACUUCAGCACCUAUUCUGCCAUCAAUACUUCUAGGAUGUAGA